CCGCAAUGGGCGAAAGCCUGACGGAGCAAUACCGCGUGAGGGAGGAAGGCUCUUGGGUUGUAAACCUCUUUUCUCAGGGAAGAAGAAAUGACGGUACCUGAGGAAUAAGCAUCGGCUAACUCCGUGCCAGCAGCCGCGGUAAUACGGAGGAUGCAAGCGUUAUCCGGAAUGAUUGGGCGUAAAGGGUCCGCAGGUGGCAUUGAAAGUCUGCUGUUAAAGAGUCUAGCUCAACUAGAUAAGAGCAGUGGAAACUACAAAGCUAGAGUUUGGUCGGGGCAGAAGGAAUUCCUGGUGUAGCGGUGAAAUGCGUAGAUAUCAGGAAGAACACCAGUGGCGAAGGCGUUCUGCUAGGCCGAGACUGACACUGAGGGACGAAAGCUAGGGGAGCGAAUGGGAUUAGAUACCCCAGUAGUC
Molecule: ribosomal RNA, 414 nt
Filed under: uncultured cyanobacterium
Lineage: Bacteria; Bacillati; Cyanobacteriota
Description: bacterial SSU rRNA
Rfam family: Bacterial small subunit ribosomal RNA
Source: RNAcentral